RNAcentral lists this unclassified non-coding RNA (200 nucleotides) under Tremellomycetes sp. RNAcentral's name for it is "partial internal transcribed spacer 2". The record is from RNAcentral. Lineage: Eukaryota; Fungi; Basidiomycota; Tremellomycetes.
UUAAGUUCAGCGGGUAGUCCUACCUGAUUUGAGGCCAGAUCAUAAAAGUUCAAGUCCCUGGAGUGGGAACAAUGAGAGUUAGAAAGCAGACGUUUGUCAAGAGUCCUGGCCACCCCAAUAAAGGGAUGUCCUCAGCGAAAUACUUAUUACGCCAAGUAGAACCAAGUCUCACGACAUGUCCAGCUAAUCCAUUUAAGGUG